AGAGUUUGAUCCUGGCCCAGGACGAACGCUGGCGGCGUGGAUUAGGCAUGCAAGUCGAACGCGAACGUUUUCCUUCGGGAAGAUUAGUAGAGUGCGGACGGGUGAGUAACGCGUAGAUGAUCUACCUUUAAGUGGGGGAUAGCCCCGGGAAACCGGGAUUAAUACCGCAUGUGGAGCUUCGGUUCUAAAGAUGGCCUCUGUUUCAAGCUGUCGCUUAAAGAUGAGUCUGCGUCCUAUUAGCUAGUUGGUGAGGUAAUGGCUCACCAAGGCGAUGAUAGGUAGGCGGCCUUAACGGGUGGUCGCCCACACUGGGAUUGAGAUACGCCCCAGACUCCUACGGGAGGCAGCAGUCGAGAAUAGUCUACAAUGGAGGAAACUCUGAUAGUGCGACGCCGCGUGGAUGAUGAAGCAUUUCGGUGUGUAAAGUCCUUUUCUUUGUGAGCAAUGGCCUGUCCAUAAAUAGUGUACAGGACGAGAUAUUAGCAGAGGAAUAAGCUCCGGCUAACUCCGUGCCAGCAGCCGCGGUAAUACGGGGGGAGCAAGCGUUGUCCGGAAUCACUAGGCGUAAAGGGUAAGUAGGCGGAAGCGUAAGUCAGAUGUUAAA
This 604-nucleotide ribosomal RNA is filed under the name uncultured spirochete. Its description in RNAcentral is "bacterial SSU rRNA". It matches the Rfam family "Bacterial small subunit ribosomal RNA", at positions 8 to 599 of the family's 1533-position model. Lineage: Bacteria; Pseudomonadati; Spirochaetota; Spirochaetia; Spirochaetales. The record is from RNAcentral.